GGCACAGUGGCUUAGUGGUUAGCACGUUUGCCUCGCCUCUACAGGGUUGGGGGUUCGAAUCUCGUCUCCGCCC
Molecule: non-coding RNA, 73 nt
Organism: Pangasianodon gigas (Mekong giant catfish)
Lineage: Eukaryota; Metazoa; Chordata; Actinopteri; Siluriformes; Pangasiidae
Source: the annotation of a GenBank genome assembly